CUAACACAUGCAAGUCGAGCGGUAACAGGUGUAGCAAUACAUGCUGACGAGCGGCGAACGGGUGAGUAAUGCUUUGGAAUCUUCCCAGUAGUGGGGAAUAACCAGUCGAAAGAUUGGCUAAUACCGCAUACGUCUGUAAAGGGAAAGCGGGGGCUCGUAAGACCUCGCGCUAUUGGAUGAGCCAAAGUCGGAUUAGCUAGUUGGUGGGGUAAUGGCCUACCAAGGCGACAAUCCGUAGCUGGUCUGAGAGGACGACCAGCCACACCGGAACUGAGACACGGUCCGGACUCCUACGGGAGGCAGCAGUGGGGAAUAUUGGACAAUGGGGGAAACCCUGAUCCAGCGACGCCGCGUGUGUGAAGAAGGCCUGCGGGUUGUAAAGCACUUUUAGUGGGGACAAAAAGCUACGGACUAAUACUCUGUGGUCUUGAUUUAACCCAAAGAAAAAGCACCGGCUAACUCUGUGCCAGCAGCCGCGGUAAU
This 483-nucleotide ribosomal RNA is filed under the name uncultured bacterium. RNAcentral describes it as "bacterial SSU rRNA". It matches the Rfam family "Bacterial small subunit ribosomal RNA", at positions 48 to 524 of the family's 1533-position model. The record is from RNAcentral.